RNAcentral lists this transfer RNA (77 nucleotides) under Planctomycetota bacterium. Its description in RNAcentral is "tRNA-Arg". It matches the Rfam family "tRNA". Rfam says of the family: Transfer RNA (tRNA) molecules are approximately 80 nucleotides in length. Their secondary structure includes four short double-helical elements and three loops (D, anti-codon, and T loops). Lineage: Bacteria; Pseudomonadati; Planctomycetota. The record is from RNAcentral.
GCGCCCGUAGCUCAAUUGGAUAGAGCUCCAGACUACGGAUCUGGAGGUUAGAGGUUCAACUCCUCUCGGGCGUACCA